This 253-nucleotide ribosomal RNA is filed under the name uncultured bacterium. RNAcentral's name for it is "partial 16S ribosomal RNA". It matches the Rfam family "Bacterial small subunit ribosomal RNA", at positions 524 to 776 of the family's 1533-position model. The record is from RNAcentral.
UACGUAGGGGGCAAGCGUUGUCCGGAUUUAUUGGGCGUAAAGAGCGUGUAGGCGGCCAUACAGGUCCGUUGUGAAAACUGGAGGCUCAACCUCCAGACGUCGACGGAAGCCGUAUGGCUAGAGUCCGGAAGAGGAGAGUGGAAUUCCUGGUGUAGCGGUGAAAUGCGCAGAUAUCAGGAAGAACACCCGUGGCGAAGGCGGCUCUCUGGGACGGUACUGACGCUGAGACGCGAAAGCGUGGGGAGCGAACAGG